Molecule: ribosomal RNA, 4298 nt
Filed under: bacterium
Lineage: Bacteria
Description: 23S ribosomal RNA
Rfam family: Bacterial large subunit ribosomal RNA
Source: RNAcentral
GGCGGGUAAAGUAAGGGCGUAUGGUGGAUGCCUUGGCUUUGAAUGGCGAUGAAGGACGUGGCGUGCCUGCGAUAAACUUCGGGGAGGUGGCGAGCAACCUUUGAUCCGGAGGUCUCCGAAUGGGGAAACCCCUUUGCAUAAAAUGCAUUGACUUCGUGUAAACGAGGAGCAAACCCGCUGAAGUGAAACAUCUCAGUAAGCGGAGGAACAGAAAAUCAUCGCGUGCUUUGCACGCAGAUUUAAAUAUUUAAAUAUUUAAACUUGCGCGCUUGGCGCGCGCCAUUCCCCCAGUAGCGGCGAGCGAAAAGGGAUCAGCCCAAACCGGUUUGAUUUUGUUGGUUUUCCAAUAAAUAUGACCGGGGUUGUAAGAUGAGUGAAUUUUCCGCGCAAGCGGAAAGCGAGUCCAACCAAUGGUUCGUUAGCAGAACGGUCCUGGAAAGGCCGGCCACAGCGGGUGAAAGCCCCGUAUGCGAAAACGAAUUCGUGCUCGUUUCAUUUAUUCUUGAGUACUGCCCCGUAUGACGACUGGGCAGGAAUCCGGGAGAACUACGCUCCCAAGGCUAAAUACAUUCAAAGACCGAUAGUGAACCAGUACCGUGAGGGAAAGGUGAAAAGCAGCCCGGUGAGGGCGGUGAAAUAGUACCUGAAACCAUACGCUUACAAGGAGUCGGAGCCGUGCACAGCACGGAGAUUUAAAUAUUUAAAUAUUUAAAUCUCCGUGCUGUGCACGGUGACGUCGUGCCUAUUGAAGAAUGAGCCAACGAGUUUUGUGAUACUGCUCGUCUAAGCGCCGUGAGGCGCGAAGGCACAGGGAAACCGAGUGUUAAUAGCGCGUUUCUAGUUAGUAGUUUGUAGUUGGUAGCCGGUAGAUUUAUCUACUCACUACGAACUACUCACUACCGACUAGUAGGCAGUAUUAUAAAGACCCGAAACCAGAUGAGCUUGCCAUGGGCAGGGUGAACUUUGGGUAACACCAAAGGGAGGCCCGAACCGGUAGGUCGUGCAACGCCUUCGGAUGACCUGUGGUACGGAGUGAAAAGCUAAUCGAAUCUGGAAAUAGCUGGUUCUCUUCGAAAUAGCUUUUGGGCUAGCCCCGGAUCAUGUUCCGCGCGAGGUAGAGCUACUGGAUGGUCGGUAAGGACUCACGUUCGGCCGACCAACCAAACUCCGAAUGCGCGCGUAAUUAUUCCGGGAGUCAGCAGGCGGGGGCUAAGCUCCGUCGUGCAAGAGGGGAAGAGCCCAGACCGACAACUAAGGUCCCUAAUCUCUGCUAAGUGGUAAAGGUGGUGGCGUUUCUUAUACAGCGAGGAGGUUGGCUUAGAAGCAGCCAUCCUUUAAAGAGUGCGUAACAGCUCACUCGUCCAGAGACGCUGCGUCGAAGAUUCAACGGGGCUAAGCAGAGAACCGAAGUUUCGGAUGCGCGGGCUUCAAUGAAGCCCGUGCGUAGUAGAAGAGCAUUUCUUGUGCGGUGAAGCUCCAGCCGUGAGGCGGAGUGGAGCGCAAGGAAGAGAGAAUGUUGGCACAAGUAACCGCAAGUCGGGUGAGAACCCCGACCGCCGAAAGCCUAAGGGUUCCUCCGCAAUGACAAUCAUCGGAGGGUUAGUCGGGCCUAAGCCGAUGGCGAAAGCCGCAGGCGAUGGACAGCUGGUUAAUAUUCCAGCACUGCCAUACGGAUCGAGGGCGUGACGGGGCGCAGUAUGCGCGGCGCAUUAUUGGAUUUGACGCUUGUGGGAUAAGGGAUGCCGGUAGGGAAAUCCGCCGGCGGGGGUUAUGCCCGAUCCCGAGUACCGCGAAGACCGUGCUUCGCACGGAGAUUUAAAUAUUUAAACAUUUAAACUUCCGCGCGGAGCGCGGGAUCAUGCAAAGCGCGCCUCCCAGAAAACCGUCUAAGAAUAUGUGUAUGGCAACCGUACCGCAAACCGACACAGGUGGGCAGGUCGAGUAGACCAAGGCGAACGAGUGAUUCCCCGUUAAGGAACUCGGCAAAAAAGCAGCCGUAAGUUCGCGAUAAGGCUUGCCUUGUCGGGGCUGAAAGAAGGAAUGAUUGCUGGGUUGUCUAUGUGAGAACACGCGCGUUGCGCUCCUGCGGCGCAACGCGCUAAGAGUCGGACAAAAUUUCGUCCCGCGACGGGACGAGCCAAGCAAUUUUGUCCUCCUAUUGUUCUCACACAGACAACCCAGCUUGUGGAAGAUAAAAGAGGAAAAAAAGGGGAAUGUCCCUGUAGCUCAGUUGAUAGAACACUCGGUGGUUAACCGAAAGGUCGCUGGUUCAAUUCCAGCCAGGGACUCCCCCAAAAACAUAGUUCUUUUUGAAAGCGAUUAGUGUAUAGUAUAGGUGGGAGGAUUGGUGGCUCAAGGACACAAUCCGUCAGUGGAAGACCACCCUUGAUCGCUUUUAUCCGGAUAGUCGCUAGGCAACCCCUUCGGCUAUCCGGGUCGUUCAGUUCAAUGGGGCACAUCAAGAUAUGUGCGCUGUCCAAGGGUCAACAUGCCUCCCUUGCUCCGCUAUGCUUGGUGUGCUCCGCCCAAGUUCAAUGGGGCAGAUUCAGGUUUGUUGGUUUUGUGUUUGUUUCUGGAAUGAGCGCAAGACCUGGGAGACUUAUCUGGAUCUGUCCCGCCAGAGUUCGGUGGAGCGGUUAGGAAAAUUUUGAUAUUUUUAUUUUCCUGCGGUGGUAGGAAGUCCACGCCGCUCCAACCUAAAGUCAAUGGGGUAGAUCAUGCAUACUUCCGGAAUACUGGUCUUCCUUUCUCCCAGUUUUCAGAUCAUAUAGGUAUGCGUGGUCUACUCCUCCCUUUUUUCUUUCAAUCAAUUCCUUCAAAAAUUGAAACAUCUUGCGAGAUGUUUCCUUCUUUCAGCUCCGAUGAGGCCGCAGCUAAAGUACCCCUGGCGACUGUUUACCAAAAACACAGGUCCCUGCUAACUCGCAAGAGGAUGUAUAGGGGCUGACGCCUGACCAAUGCGAGAAGGUUAAACGUUCUUGUGGAGUGGCCGCGAUUACAUCAACGCUGUUCUGCUCUGGGCGUCAAGCCCUCGUCAAUGUCAGCGAUAACUAUAAUCGUUCUAAGGUUGCCCGUAUCUUAUUUCAUAAGGUUCGGGCGAGGAUUGGAACGAUUAUAGGGUUUUAGGUAAAAAUGAAAGCGCUGCCCAUUUUGUAUUUACAGAAUGUCCUUUAAAUUUGGCUAUAUGCUGGAAUAACCGUGUAUCCGACACUACUUGAAUAAAGUAAAAAUGUGAUUGGUGCGGUCAAUCAGCAGGUAACUAAAUUAUGCAAUUACUAAUAAAAUUAAGUAAGAUACAUAAUUUAGGAACCUCAGAGACUAUAUGCCAGAAUCUCCUUUUAAGGAGAUAAGAUAUAGUCCGAACUCUAUGGCGACAUAGAGAGUUGAUCAGAAAUGAAUCAGCCGUAUGCUUUUCAGUUUGUCAUGCAGAGCCACGGGCGAAGCAUCCCGUACAUUAUCGGGAUUCCUCGCUAACGCUCGGAAUGACGAAAAAGCGUAUCGUAACAAACUUGAGCGCAAUUCCUUUUCGGGUAAGUUCCGAAGCGCACGAAAGGCGUAACGACUGGGGGACUGUCUCAACGAGGAGCUCGGUGAAAAUACAAUACCGGUGAAGAUGCCGGUUACCUGUGGUUAGACGAAAAGACCCCGGGAGCUUUACUGCAGCUUGAUAUUGAGUUUAGUGCUAGCAUGCGUAGCAUAGAUGGGAGGCUUUGAAGUUCCGGUUCCGGCUGGAAUGGAGCCGUCAGUGAAAUACCAUUCUUGUGUGCGCUAAAUUCUCACCGAUCCGAAAGCGAAAACCGCAAAGCGGAUGGGGACAGUGUCUGGCGGGCAGUUUGUGUGGGGCACAUUCCUCCCAAAAAGUAAUGGAGGAGUCUAUUAAGGUCGGCUUGGGACGGAUGGAAAUCGUCCUGGACGGGUAAAGCCAGAAGCCGGCUUGACUGCAAGGCGGAUAGGCCGCGCAGGUGCGAAAGCAGAGCUUAGUGAUCCGAUGGCACUUUCUAGAAUAAGGCCAAAGCUCAUCAGACAAAAGCUACCCCGGGGAUAACAGGCUAGUUCCGCCCGAGCGUCCAUAGCGCCGGCGGAGUUCGGCACCUCGAUGUCGGCUCAUCUUAUCCUGGGACUGGAGAAGGCCCCAAGGGUUCGGCUGUUCGCCGAUUAAAAAGAUACGUGAGCUGGGUUGCGUAAGGCACGUGAGCCCAGUUAAAACCGACUCAUAACGGUGGAAUCCAUAAUGCAGAUAUGAUAGAAUUGUGUUAUGGACAAUACCGUGGGAAGAUUACAAAAUAUAUUUCCACCGC